GGGAAAGUGGCUCAGUGGUAGAGUGCUUGCUUAGCAUGCAUGAAGCCCUGGGUUCGAUUUCUCAGUACCA
This 70-nucleotide transfer RNA is filed under the name Dipodomys ordii (Ord's kangaroo rat). It matches the Rfam family "tRNA". Rfam says of the family: Transfer RNA (tRNA) molecules are approximately 80 nucleotides in length. The record is from Rfam by way of RNAcentral. Lineage: Eukaryota; Metazoa; Chordata; Mammalia; Rodentia; Heteromyidae.